This 63-nucleotide transfer RNA is filed under the name Eusyllis blomstrandi. RNAcentral describes it as "tRNA-His". Lineage: Eukaryota; Metazoa; Annelida; Polychaeta; Phyllodocida; Syllidae. The record is from RNAcentral.
GUUAAAAUAAUUUAAUAAAAAUGUUGAAUUGUGAUUUCAAACUUAUACUAUGUAUUUUUAACA